Molecule: long non-coding RNA, 686 nt
Filed under: Salvia miltiorrhiza (redroot sage)
Lineage: Eukaryota; Viridiplantae; Streptophyta; Magnoliopsida; Lamiales; Lamiaceae
Description: long non-coding RNA (SMIL_LNC010963)
Source: RNAcentral
AGCUUCGAUCGCUUCCCCGUCGCUGCUCCAGUUCGCUUCUGCCGAUCAGAGUGAGAAAGGAGAUAGCCGGCGAUCGUUGUCGUCUGGCGCUCAGCCGGUCAGCGAUCGGAGUUGCUGCCGCCUACUGAAGCCAAAAUUGGAGAUCUCCAGCAGAGAAAGAAGCAGAUCGGCGCGACCUCCAGCAGCAGAUCUCCAGCAGCGGCGCGACCUCCAGCAGCAGAUCGGCGCCGGAUAUCCACACCAUUGGCGCGACUUCCAGCAGCAGAUCGUCGACGGAACAAAGCAGACCUCGGGCGACCUCCAGCAGCAGAUCGGCGCCAAACACAGCAGACCUCCAGCAGCAGACCGGCGCCGAACACAGCAGACCUACAGCAGCAGCAUACCUCAAGCAGAUCUCCGCCGGAAAUCGGGAUUUCCAAUCUCGGAUUUUCUCUGCACUUGUCAUCUCGAUUGCUUGGUUGUUCUGUUUGGUUCUGUGCAGUUGGAUUGAGCCAUUUUGAUUAUUUAUGCUGCCAAAUUAACAUUGGUGGUUUAAAUGGAAUGGAGAGAGGUGAGGAAAAGAAGGGUUGGCCAACCCUUUUCUGAGAGAAUAACGGCAAGGCACCAAAGAUAUCCAAAUCCUAGGAACACAAGCCUCAGUUCGAGAAGAACCUUCAAUGGAACAGACGGUGGUAGAUUUGGGCGGC